Brachypodium distachyon (stiff brome) is the source of this 145-nucleotide non-coding RNA. The record is from Rfam. NCBI's taxonomy places the organism in Eukaryota, Viridiplantae, Streptophyta, Magnoliopsida, Poales, Poaceae.
CAUAUACUCCUUCAGUCCAACAAAAGAUGUCUCAACUUUGACUAAAUUUGAAUGUUUGAAGAUGCAUUCAAAUUUAGUCAAAGUCUUCAAGCAUUCAAAUUUAGUCAAAGUUGAGACAUCUUUUGUUGGACAGAGGAAGUAAGUU